RNAcentral lists this ribosomal RNA (678 nucleotides) under uncultured Eubacteriales bacterium. RNAcentral's name for it is "bacterial SSU rRNA". It matches the Rfam family "Bacterial small subunit ribosomal RNA", at positions 75 to 772 of the family's 1533-position model. The record is from RNAcentral. Lineage: Bacteria; Bacillati; Bacillota; Clostridia; Eubacteriales.
GAAAGAAAUUAAGUGAAUUAGUGGCGAACGGGUGAGUAACACGUGAGUAACCUGCCUUACACAAGGGGAUAGCCUUUGGAAACGAAGAAUAAUACCCUAUAAAGUCAACCAAUCGCAUGAUAAGGUAGACCAAAGAUUUAUCGGUGUAAGAUGGACUUGCGCCUGAUUAGCUAGUUGGUGAGAUAAAAGCCCACCAAGGCAACGAUCAGUAGCCGGCUUGAGAGAGUGUACGGCCACAUUGGGACUGAGACACGGCCCAAACUCCUACGGGAGGCAGCAGUGGGGAAUUUUGCACAAUGGGGGAAACCCUGAUGCAGCGACGCCGCGUGAUUUAGAAGGCCUUCGGGUUGUAAAAAUCUUUUUUAUGGGAUGAAAAUGACAGUACCAUAAGAAUAAGGUCCGGCUAAAUACGUGCCAGCAGCCGCGGUAAUACGUAUGGACCGAGCGUUGUCCGGAAUCAUUGGGCGUAAAGGGUACGUAGGCGGCCUAGUAAGUUAGAAGUGAAAUAAUAUAGCUCAACUAUAUAAAGCUUUUAAAACUGCUAAGCUUGAGAGAUGAAAGGGAAAGUGGAAUUCCUAGUGUAGCGGUGAAAUGCGCAGAUAUUAGGAAGAAUACCAGUGGCGAAGGCGACUUUCUGGUCAUCAUCUGACGCUGAGGUACGAAAGCGUGGGUAGCAAA